This 630-nucleotide long non-coding RNA is filed under the name Equus asinus (donkey). RNAcentral's name for it is "lncRNA (ENSEASG00005028972.1)". Lineage: Eukaryota; Metazoa; Chordata; Mammalia; Perissodactyla; Equidae. The record is from RNAcentral.
GACAGCUCAAGACCUUUCCUUCUCUGAGGUACGAGGUCGUGGGAGCCCAUGCACAGCUUGGGGCUUUGAGCACCUCCUCUGGGGGACCUCCACGGGGACCAGGACCCACCUGAAGGUGCAGCCUGGGGAUGUGCCUUGAAGAACCAUCAAGGCAGCUGGAAAAACACCGGGGUCGGAGGGUAGCGUGUGGACGGCCAGAUGGUUUUCAUCCUAUUGGUGAUGGGACUCAGGACGCCAGGGAGCAGAUGGAGACCCAACGCUUUGAGAGGUAAUUCAGGUAAUGCAAAUCAGGAAGUGGUGGUGGGCUGAUCUGCUGCUUGCGGGAUACUGAAGAGACCCCGUGCUCGUUCCUGGCUCUGGAUGUCUGUCCUGGAUGCAUCGUGUCCUUCCCAAGACCCGCCUGUCCAACUUUGGACUGCCUCCUCCUCUUCUAAGGUGGCUUCAUGUUUGCAUGGCACCCUGUGGCUUACAGCCCCUACCCCAUCCGUCACCCUGUUUGAUCCCCGAGGUCCCCAUGAGGCCGGCUCCAGGGAGACCAUGAUCAACCUGUCCUGCUGGGGGGCCCUGGAGGCGACAGACAGGACAGAGACCCAGGACUCCUUGGGUUGAUCACCCAUUCGUGCAUCAAAG